GACGAACGCUGGCGGCGUGCUUAACACAUGCAAGUCGAACGGAAAGGCCCUACUUUUGUGGGGUGCUCGAGUGGCGAACGGGUGAGUAACACGUGAGUAACCUGCCCUUGACUUUGGGAUAACUUCAGGAAACUGGGGCUAAUACCGGAUAGGAGCUCCUGCUGCAUGGUGGGGGUUGGAAAGUUUCGGCGGUUGGGGAUGGACUCGCGGCUUAUCAGCUUGUUGGUGGGGUAGUGGCUUACCAAGGCUUUGACGGGUAGCCGGCCUGAGAGGGUGACCGGCCACAUUGGGACUGAGAUACGGCCCAGACUCCUACGGGAGGCAGAAGUGGGGAAUAUUGCACAAUGGGCGGAAGCCUGAUGCAGCAACGCCGCGUGCGGGAUGACGGCCUUCGGGUUGUAAACCGCUUUCGCCUGUGACGAAGCGUGAGUGACGGUAAUGGGUAAAGAAGCACCGGCUAACUACGUG
This 468-nucleotide ribosomal RNA is filed under the name uncultured bacterium. RNAcentral describes it as "partial 16S ribosomal RNA". It matches the Rfam family "Bacterial small subunit ribosomal RNA", at positions 28 to 507 of the family's 1533-position model. The record is from RNAcentral.